AAUUAUAUAGUCAAUAUAUGAUAUUGAAUUGCAAAUUCAAAGGUGAAUAAUUUCUGUAAUUU
This 62-nucleotide transfer RNA is filed under the name Euwallacea fornicatus. RNAcentral's name for it is "tRNA-Cys". The record is from RNAcentral. Lineage: Eukaryota; Metazoa; Arthropoda; Insecta; Coleoptera; Curculionidae.